Sus scrofa (pig) is the source of this 949-nucleotide non-coding RNA. The record is from RefSeq and is a predicted model, not a curated record. NCBI's taxonomy places the organism in Eukaryota, Metazoa, Chordata, Mammalia, Artiodactyla, Suidae.
GACCUCUUGCGAUCUCUGACCCCGGGCAGAGGAAUAAGCAAAGGGAAAAAGCUGGGUUUCAGGGAGUAUAGCCUUGGUUUCUGGAAGGUACCCAGGUCUAGAGAUCCCCUUCUCUGCAUGUCUACCAAAGAAGUGUGGGGUCUGGAGAGGUGGAGAAACAGAGCUGGAGAAGAAUGGAGAAUAAUAGAACCCACCUGAGAACGUCGCUGGCCUAUGCUUUUGAAAAAGGGGCUUCGACUGAUGGCCCAACCAUGUGCAUUUGUAGCAAGAUCUUCCUGCGUGCUGUUCCCAUGCCUGGAAGAUGCCUUGCUCUCUGGCUGACUCACCUGUCUUGGCUGAAGUAUCGCCUCUUCAGCAAAGUCUUCUCUGAUUUCCCAGCACGGACGGUAAAGAAUGCAGAAGGUCCCUGCCACAUCAGGCGGGAGAUGGAGGAGCUGGUGAGCACCAGAGGCCACUAGGGAUCUCAGAGAACAAACAGCCCAUUGCCCAGAUGGAGACACUGAGUCCCAGCAAGCUACUCCGCCAUCAGAGGUGCAUCGUCUACUAAAAGUAGGAGCUGUCCAGACCUGGAAGAGUGGCUGGAAAAGGUGCGAAAUGUGUGGAAAUUCCACCUCGUUGCUGAAAGUAAGUGGAAAAAUGCUUUUGUCGCUGUUCCUGUCUCUUUGGCUUACGUCUUCAGCAGUUUCUCUUUAAGGGGAAUUUCCAGGCCCCUGGGACACUAUCAGGCUUUGGCUAUAGCAGUGGUUCUCAUCCUAGGGCAGGGUGAGGGGAACUCCUGGGGUGGGAGGUGCUUAAAAAAAUUCCACUGCAAGGGCGCAGGCCAAAUGCAUCUGAGUUUUGGCAGGUGGGACCCCGGACAAGCCCUUCAGGUGAUUCAAACAUGUGCAGCUGAGGCAAAGACCGUUGGGUGAGCAUUUGAAAUCACUCAUGCUGCAUUUCUUUUUUCUUU